CCUUAUAGAAGCAGGGUUCCCUUAGGCCUCCCCUGGGUUGUAGUGGGCCGGGAGGGAGCCGGGAGUGGCCUGAAGGAGAGUAGGUUCCUCCCCGGGGACGGCGGCAGUAGGGCUGGGGGAUUGGGAGAAGAGAAGGCAGUGCCCGCCCCUCCCGGCCGCGCACCGGAGCGCCUCUCCCAGGAGCUUGGAGAGUAGAAGGGACGAUCGCUUCUGGAGUCGCAGGAAGAGUUUCCGGCCGCUGGAGAUGACCUCGCAGACGACGCAUGGUCGUGGAGCUGCCUUGCAGCCAAGAAACUGGAGUCCACCGGCGCAAAAGGACUGCCUCAGAGCCAACGGCCGGGCAGGACUUCAGCCUCCCCUGUGGGGAGGCACUCUGCCAUAUCAGAGAGGCUUUGCAAUCAACCCUCCCCCAGUUAUGUCUCCACCAGUCUCACUCUAUUUAUCAGAUGUAAGGAACUGAGAGGCAAGCAGAGGCAGAGGAAGUGUUUUUAGUGGCUGCAUGACAGCUCUGGAGCUGACCCAGCUGCCAUGGUGGUCUGGAGCCAACAGACUGAGAAUGGAAAUCUGGCUCCACCCGUGUUCAUGUCUCUGCUCUUCAGCUUGUGUCUGUCAACUGUGGAUGAUCCAAGUGCCACCUGAAGAACCUCCCCACCCCUGAGAAGUGUGUCCUGACCAAACACCCACACACCACACACCCCCGCACACUAUGGCAGGGGUCAGAGGCUCUCUUCUGUGCUCCUAGGGUUCUAUGAUUUAAAUCCUGCCAUGGCUUUUCUCACACAACAGGGGGCAGUCAUCUGCUUGCAGGUUGCAGCCCCCAUCAUCCCUGCAUCCCCAAACUGACCCCAGUAGCGGAGACCUAGUGUCUGGUCGGUGCUUCGAACUUGUUUCCUCAAUGAAUGAAGCACCUCGACUCAAUGUACUUGGUCAAUAAAGGGUAGCUCUUCUUGGA
This is a long non-coding RNA of Eubalaena glacialis (North Atlantic right whale), 952 nucleotides long. RefSeq lists it as uncharacterized. NCBI's taxonomy places the organism in Eukaryota, Metazoa, Chordata, Mammalia, Artiodactyla, Balaenidae. The transcript is spliced from 2 exons. The record is from RefSeq and is a predicted model, not a curated record.